AUUGAACGCUGGCGGCAUGCCUUACACAUGCAAGUCGAACGGAUUGAAGGGGCUUGCUCCUUCAGUUAGUGGCGAACGGGUGAGUAAAGCAUCGGAACGUACCCAGUCGUGGGGGAUAACGUAGCGAAAGUUACGCUAAUACCGCAUACGAUCUGAGGAUGAAAGCGGGGGAUCGCAAGACCUCGCGCGAUUGGAGCGGCCGAUGUCGGAUUAGCUAGUUGGUGGGGUAAAGGCCUACCAAGGCGACGAUCCGUAGCUGGUCUGAGAGGAUGAUCAGCCACACUGGAACUGAGACACGGUCCAGACUCCUACGGGAGGCAGCAGUGGGGAAUUUUGGACAAUGGGGGAAACCCUGAUCCAGCCAUGCCGCGUGAGUGAAGAAGGCCUUCGGGUUGUAAAGCUCUUUCAGUCGGAAAGAAAGGGCUCCGGAUAAUACCUGGAGUUGAUGACGGUACCGACAGAAGAAGCACCGGCUAACUACGUGCCAGCCGCCGCCGUAA
This 500-nucleotide ribosomal RNA is filed under the name uncultured bacterium. RNAcentral describes it as "partial 16S ribosomal RNA". It matches the Rfam family "Bacterial small subunit ribosomal RNA", at positions 30 to 523 of the family's 1533-position model. The record is from RNAcentral.